Long non-coding RNA from Oreochromis aureus, 590 nucleotides. Lineage: Eukaryota; Metazoa; Chordata; Actinopteri; Cichliformes; Cichlidae. The record is from Ensembl.
UUCAAGCUGAGUUCUGAUGACUCUAAAAACCAUCACAUGUGAUCUGCAAUAUUUCCAUACUCAUCAAACCACUAAGUGACACAUACCUGUGCGAAGGAGUCCAGUCCGUGUCAUCUAUUACACAAACCUCCUCAUCUCCAAUCUAAUCCAGAUCUUCAUAACAAUUGUUGAGGUAUUAAGAAUAAGAAGUAGCAUAGCUCAUCUUAUUUACUACUCGUGUGUGAUGGCCAGUCUACACUUCAAGUUGUGCAUCGCUCUGGAAAGGUAUUUUUUCAUCGCAUUUCCGCUGUUGAAGUGCAUCAGGCAACCAAAAGGUUCUGUGCUGGUCUUUGUUUUGGUCUGGGUCCUUUGUUUUGUUAGUGCUGCUCUUGCUGUAACCAUAGAAGACUGUUCACGCUUAAUCAUUCAUGCCUUCUUCCCUGCCCCCGUGUUAAUCUUCUGUUUAGCUGGAACUAUCAAAGCCCUGCCUGCUGCCACAUCAGUCUCCACUGAGGAAAAGCGAAGAAUUGUGGGAACUUUGGUUUUGUUGCUAUUUAACUACUUUCUGAUAAACCUACCUGCAGUUACUCUAUCAAUAUAUCUAUCUGGCA